Molecule: unclassified non-coding RNA, 1027 nt
Filed under: Hevea brasiliensis (rubber tree)
Lineage: Eukaryota; Viridiplantae; Streptophyta; Magnoliopsida; Malpighiales; Euphorbiaceae
Source: RNAcentral
AAUGGGAUGGCUUCAAAGGUCUGUGUUUGUAGUUGCCGCAAUUUGGGAAAGAGAACUCCUGAAUUGGAAGAACAGGGAAGGCAACACUGUAUUACACAUUGCUGCUUCGAGCAAUCAAAGACAGGAGUGGGACGCUUGCUUUAUUUUUUUAUAAUUUCCUUAUGUUAAGAGAAUUUCCAUUCCUUUUUCCUUGUUCUUCAAAUGAGCAUUUUGUAAUUUUAUUGGUAAAUCGAUACUGAGCUCACACAUGCAUAUCGCCGGUGAUCCAUUGCUGCACAGGUCGUAAAUCGAAACGUUUGUAUAUACCAACAUAAAGAAUUUGAAUGGUUCGACAGCGAUGAACAUCCUACGAGACCAUGCACAAUUCAGCGAUAAAGAGCCCAGUAAAAUGCAACACCUUCCCCCUUGCGGAUAUCUCACGGCGACAGGCCGAUCUGGGAACUUAAAAGAGGAAGCUCUCGUUCUUAUAGGCAUGGGCAAUAAGCUCAGCUAGUCGGGGAAAGAAGAUACAGAGUGAACGGCGCAAUGCACUACUAGUGGUUGAUGCUUUUAUAGCAACAAUUACGUACCAGGCAGCACUAAGCCCAUCCGUCGGUGUUUGGCAGGGAACUGCUGACAUCAAUUCACAUCUACCAAACAUGUUUCGUGCGGAUACCUCUGCCACAAACACCAUUCUCAGUGAAGCCAACCCAUCACGUUAUGUGGGUUCUAGUGUUAUGGGCUCCCGCAUUUUUUUGCUGUUCUGGUUGGCGAAUACUGCUAUCUUUGUGGUAACAAUUCUACGGAUGAUGAGAUUUGGGGUCCCAAGAGAUCAUCUGUGGACGAUGUUUCCACGAUCGGUGAUAUUGUUGUUUUCUUGCUACUCGUUUUCAAUGUCGAUAAUCUCACCAACUAAAUCUUGGUCAAAUUUUAAUUUGAUUGUGUUUUUAGCAGUAUUAUUCCCAUAUUUUUUGGUUCGUCUGCUCUGGUUCUUUCUUCGUGGUCGCGGAGCUAUGGGACUUAACAGUGGAUGGCAGAGACGCCGUAU